UUAAGCGACUAAGCGUACACGGUGGAUGCCCUGGCAGUCAGAGGCGAUGAAGGACGUGCUAAUCUGCGAAAAGCGUCGGUAAGGUGAUAUGAACCGUUAUAGCCGGCGAUGUCCGAAUGGGGAAACCCAGUGCAAUUCGUUGCACUAUCGUUAACUGAAUACAUAGGUUAACGAGGCGAACCGGGGGAACUGAAACAUCUAAGUACCCCGAGGAAAAGAAAUCAACCGAGAUUCCCCCAGUAGCGGCGAGCGAACGGGGAGCAGCCCAGAGUCUGAAUCAGCUUGUGUGUUAGUGGAACGGUCUGGAAAGUCCGACGGUACAGGGUGAUAGUCCCGUACACCAAAAUGCACAGGCUGUGAACUCGAAGAGUAGGGCGGGACACGUGGUAUCCUGUCUGAAUAUGGGGGGACCAUCCUCCAAGGCUAAAUACUCCUGACUGACCGAUAGUGAACCAGUACCGUGAGGGAAAGGCGAAAAGAACCCCGGCGAGGGGAGUGAAAAAGAACCUGAAACCGUGUACGUACAAGCAGUGGGAGCACCUUCGGGUGUGACUGCGUACCUUUUGUAUAAUGGGUCAGCGACUUAUAUUCUGUAGCAAGGUUAACCGUAUAGGGGAGCCGCAGGGAAACCGAGUCUUAACUGGGCGUUAAGUUGCAGGGUAUAGACCCGAAACCCGGUGAUCUAGCCAUGGGCAGGUUGAAGGUUGGGUAACACUAACUGGAGGACCGAACCGACUAAUGUUGAAAAAUUAGCGGAUGACUUGUGGCUGGGGGUGAAAGGCCAAUCAAACCGGGAGAUAGCUGGUUCUCCCCGAAAGCUAUUUAGGUAGCGCCUCGUGAACUCAUCUUCGGGGGUAGAGCACUGUUUCGGCUAGGGGGUCAUCCCGACUUACCAACCCGAUGCAAACUACGAAUACCGAAGAAUGUUAUCACGGGAGACACACGGCGGGUGCUAACGUCCGUCGUGAAGAGGGAAACAACCCAGACCGCCAGCUAAGGUCCCAAAGUCAUGGUUAAGUGGGAAACGAUGUGGGAAGGCACAGACAGCCAGGAUGUUGGCUUAGAAGCAGCCAUCAUUUAAAGAAAGCGUAAUAGCUCACUGGUCGAGUCGGCCUGCGCGGAAGAUGUAACGGGGCUAAACCAUGCACCGAAGCUGCGGCAGCGACACUAUGUGUUGUUGGGUAGGGGAGCGUUCUGUAAGCCUGCGAAGGUGUGCUGUGAGGCAUGCUGGAGGUAUCAGAAGUGCGAAUGCUGACAUAAGUAACGAUAAAGCGGGUGAAAAGCCCGCUCGCCGGAAGACCAAGGGUUCCUGUCCAACGUUAAUCGGGGCAGGGUGAGUCGACCCCUAAGGCGAGGCCGAAAGGCGUAGUCGAUGGGAAACAGGUUAAUAUUCCUGUACUUGGUGUUACUGCGAAGGGGGGGACGGAGAAGGCUAUGUUAGCCGGGCGACGGUUGUCCCGGUUUAAGCAUGUAGGCUGAUUGUCCAGGCAAAUCCGGAUAAUCAAGGCUGAGGUGUGAUGACGAGGCACUACGGUGCUGAAGUAACAAAUGCCCUGCUUCCAGGAAAAGCCUCUAAGCAUCAGGUAACAUCAAAUCGUACCCCAAACCGACACAGGUGGUCAGGUAGAGAAUACCAAGGCGCUUGAGAGAACUCGGGUGAAGGAACUAGGCAAAAUGGUGCCGUAACUUCGGGAGAAGGCACGCUGGUGUGUAGGUGAAGUCCCUGCGGAUGGAGCUGAGACCAGUCGAAGAUACCAGCUGGCUGCAACUGUUUAUUAAAAACACAGCACUGUGCAAACACGAAAGUGGACGUAUACGGUGUGACGCCUGCCCGGUGCCGGAAGGUUAAUUGAUGGGGUUAUCCGUAAGGAGAAGCUCUUGAUCGAAGCCCCGGUAAACGGCGGCCGUAACUAUAACGGUCCUAAGGUAGCGAAAUUCCUUGUCGGGUAAGUUCCGACCUGCACGAAUGGCGUAAUGAUGGCCAGGCUGUCUCCACCCGAGACUCAGUGAAAUUGAACUCGCUGUGAAGAUGCAGUGUACCCGCGGCAAGACGGAAAGACCCCGUGAACCUUUACUAUAGCUUGACACUGAACAUUGAGCCUUGAUGUGUAGGAUAGGUGGGAGGCUUUGAAGCGUGGACGCCAGUCUGCGUGGAGCCAACCUUGAAAUACCACCCUUUAAUGUUUGAUGUUCUAACGUUGGCCCCUGACCGGGGUUGCGGACAGUGUCUGGUGGGUAGUUUGACUGGGGCGGUCUCCUCCCAAAGCGUAACGGAGGAGCACGAAGGUUAGCUAAUCCUGGUCGGACAUCAGGAGGUUAGUGCAAUGGCAUAAGCUAGCUUGACUGCGAGCGUGACGGCGCGAGCAGGUGCGAAAGCAGGUCAUAGUGAUCCGGUGGUUCUGAAUGGAAGGGCCAUCGCUCAACGGAUAAAAGGUACUCCGGGGAUAACAGGCUGAUACCGCCCAAGAGUUCAUAUCGACGGCGGUGUUUGGCACCUCGAUGUCGGCUCAUCACAUCCUGGGGCUGAAGUAGGUCCCAAGGGUAUGGCUGUUCGCCAUUUAAAGUGGUACGCGAGCUGGGUUUAGAACGUCGUGAGACAGUUCGGUCCCUAUCUGCCGUGGGCGCUGGAGAAUUGAGGGGGCUGCUCCUAGUACGAGAGGACCGGAGUGGACGCAUCACUGGUGUUCGGGUUGUCAUGCCAAUGGCACUGCCCGGUAGCUAAAUGCGGAAGAGAUAAGUGCUGAAAGCAUCUAAGCACGAAACUUGCCCCGAGAUGAGUUCUCCCUGAGACUUUAAGUCUCCUGAAGGAACGUUAAAGACGAUGACGUUGAUAGGCCGGGUGUGUAAGCGCAGCGAUGCGUUGAGCUAACCGGUACUAAUGAACCGUGAGGCUUAACCUU
This 2900-nucleotide ribosomal RNA is filed under the name Klebsiella pneumoniae. Its description in RNAcentral is "23S ribosomal RNA". It matches the Rfam family "Bacterial large subunit ribosomal RNA". Lineage: Bacteria; Pseudomonadati; Pseudomonadota; Gammaproteobacteria; Enterobacterales; Enterobacteriaceae. The record is from RNAcentral.